RNAcentral lists this non-coding RNA (192 nucleotides) under Candidatus Paracaedibacter. The record is from RNAcentral. Lineage: Bacteria; Pseudomonadati; Pseudomonadota; Alphaproteobacteria; Holosporales; Candidatus Paracaedibacteraceae.
CCUUAUACUGGGGAAAUCAAUCGUCUUCGUAAAAAGAUGUUCGAUAGGGAACGCGGUGUGAGUCCGCGACUGUCCUCGCAACUGUAAGUGCUGAGCUAAUUUCCAUUAUGUCACUGGAACCUAUAUUCUGGGAAGACGGGAAAAGGCGAAGACGCACAAAGUCAGGAAACCUGCUAAACAAUUACCACGUUU